Molecule: ribosomal RNA, 1132 nt
Filed under: human gut metagenome
Description: bacterial LSU rRNA
Rfam family: Bacterial large subunit ribosomal RNA
Source: RNAcentral
CCAAUCGAACUCGGAGAUAGCUGGUUCUCCCCGAAAUAGCUUUAGGGCUAGCCUCGUUUUAGAUUACCGGGGGUAGAGCACUGAAUGGGCUAGGGGGCCACAAAGCUUACCGAACCCUAUCAAACUUCGAAUACCGGAUAAUUGAUGAACGGGAGUCAGACGGCGGGAGAUAAGUUUCGUCGUCAAAAGGGAAACAGCCCAGAUCUACGACUAAGGUCCCGAAAUCACAGUUAAGUGGAAAAGGAUGUGCAGUUGCACAGACAACCAGGAUGUUGGCUUAGAAGCAGCCACUCAUUUAAAGAGUGCGUAAUAGCUCACUGGUCGAGUGAUUGUGCGCCGAAAAUGUACCGGGGCUAAACUGUGUACCGAAGUCUAGGGAUCGUGAUAAACGAUCGGUAGGGGAGCAACGUGUGCGGGCUGAAGCCGAAGCGGAAGCGACGGUGGACUGCACGGGAGAGAGAAUGCCGGCAUGAGUAGCGAGAGCAAAGUGAGAAUCUUUGCCGUCGAAAGCCUAAGGUUUCCUGAGGAAGGCUCGUCCUCUCAGGGUAAGUCAGGACCUAAGCCGAGGACAAAAGUCGUAGGCGAUGGACAACUGGUUGAUAUUCCAGUACCACCUUUAGCGUUUGACUGAAGCAGUGACACAGAAGGAUAGACAGAGCGCGUGACUGGUAGAGCGCGUCCAAGCGAUGAGGGAGUUAAGUAGUGAAGAACGCUUAACAAUCCUGGGUCGUGAUGGGGACUGAAAAUAAGUAGGGAAGCUGUUGAAUUCACGCUGGCGAGAAAAGCUGCUAAGGAGCGAAAGGGUGCCUGUACCGCAAACCGACACAGGUAGGCGAGGAGAGAAUCCUAAGACGAGCGGGAGAACCCAUGUUAAGGAACUCGGCAAAAUGACCCUGUAACUUCGGGAUAAAGGGAGCCACGAGAGUGGCCGCAGAGAAUAGGCCCAAGCGACUGUUUACCAAAAACACAGGUCUGUGCGAAGUAGAGAUACGACGUAUACGGGCUGACGCCUGCCCAGUGCCGGAAGGUUAAGGGGAAGUGUUAGGGCAACCGAAGCACGGAACUUAAGCCCCGGUGAACGGCGGCCGUAACUAUAACGGUCCUAAGGUAGCGAAAUUCCUUGUCGGGUAAG